GAAGUAGCCCUGUUCAGAAUGGGGCUCAAGGGAAGUGUACUGUUUGAUAGAGGCGCAUGACCUGAAAAGCACUCUCCACUUUGUUUUCCUCUGGUUUUGAAUGCAGUUUAUCCCGUCUUAAAUUUUAUCGAUUAUUUACGUAAAAAAAUACCUAAAGUUGUAUAUGAGGAAAGUUGUUUGAAAUGUUUGGACAAAGAUUACAGGUAACUUGAGAUAUUUUGUAGUCAUGUUGCGCGAGUUGGAACCGGUGUUUUUCUGGAUCAAACGCGCCAAAUAAAUGGACAUUUUGGAUAUAUAACGACGGAAUUAAUCGAACAAAGGACCAUUUGUGAUGUUUAUGGGACAUAUUGGAGUGCCAACAGAAGAAGCUCGUCAAAGUGCAGGUGAGCAGUCUGUCUGGAAUUGAAGAGCGCCUGAUCUAAAGACUGGAUCCCUCUCACUGAGCGCCGUCUCUGACAUAGCAAGGAGAUUUGGAAACUACGGAAGGCUAUAUUCAACCAUUGUGUGAGCAACCAUGCUGCAGCACCAGAGGCUAGAGGGGUUGUGUACAGGAAUCUCCAAAUGUUGAACGAGCACCUCGGAUGAAGGAUGGGGAGGAAAACAGACAGCUUCUUUCGACCACACCUUCGCAAAGUUCUGCCCACUCUGACUCUGGUCCCUGUCUCCAGUCCAACUUCUCGUCAAUCCUGGUACUCUGUCCUGGAUUCCCCACUCUACGCUCCCUUGGAUUCCCCUCUGGACCUGCUUACCUUGUCCCA
RNAcentral lists this long non-coding RNA (758 nucleotides) under Salmo salar (Atlantic salmon). Its description in RNAcentral is "lncRNA (ENSSSAG00000093467.1, ENSSSAG00000098141.1)". The record is from RNAcentral. Lineage: Eukaryota; Metazoa; Chordata; Actinopteri; Salmoniformes; Salmonidae.